RNAcentral lists this ribosomal RNA (852 nucleotides) under uncultured marine bacterium. RNAcentral's name for it is "bacterial SSU rRNA". It matches the Rfam family "Bacterial small subunit ribosomal RNA", at positions 40 to 938 of the family's 1533-position model. The record is from RNAcentral.
GGGCGAGGGGGGUCUACAUGCAGUCGACGAACCUUCGGGUUAGUGGCGGACGGGUGAGUAACGCGUGAGAAUCUGCCCUCAGGAGGGGGAUAACGGUUGGAAACGACCGCUAAUACCCCAUAUGCCUACUGGUGAAAUGAAUUUCGCCUGAGGAUGAGCUCGCGUCUGAUUAGCUAGUUGGUGAGGUAAUGGCUCACCAAGGCUUCGAUCAGUAGCUGGUCUGAGAGGAUGAUCAGCCACACUGGGACUGAGACACGGCCCAGACUCCUACGGGAGGCAGCAGUGGGGAAUUUUCCGCAAUGGGCGAAAGCCUGACGGAGCAACGCCACGUGAGGGACGAAGGCCUCUGGGCUGUAAACCUCUUUUCUCAAGGAAGAAGAUAUGACGGUACUUGAGGAAUAAGCCACGGCUAAUUCCGUGCCAGCAGCCGCGGUAAUACGGGAGUGGCAAGCGUUAUCCGGAAUUAUUGGGCGUAAAGCGUCCGCAGGCGGCUUUUCAAGUCUGCUGUUAAAGCGUGGAGCUUAACUCCAUCAUGGCAGUGGAAACUGAAAGGCUUGAGUAUGGUAGGGGCAGAGGGAAUUCCCGGUGUAGCGGUGAAAUGCGUAGAUAUCGGGAAGAACACCAGUGGCGAAGGCGCUCUGCUGGGCCAUUACUGACGCUCAUGGACGAAAGCCAGGGGAGCGAAAGGGAUUAGAUACCCCUGUAGUCCUGGCCGUAAACGAUGAACACUAGGUGUCGGGGGAAUCGACCCCUUCGGUGUCGUAGCUAACGCGUUAAGUGUUCCGCCUGGGGAGUACGCACGCAAGUGUGAAACUCAAAGGAAUUGACGGGGGCCCGCACAAGCGGUGGAGU